ACACCCACUAAUAACCCCGCCCAUAAGGCAGUGGGCGGUGUCCGUGCGAGUUACGUGCCCCGCGCCGCCCCCGACGGCUCCGCCCACAGCCCUGGCGCGCCUUCCUGGAAGCGCCCCACGCGGACGAGCCUCUCUUCUUUCCGCAGCUGCUCCAGUGCCUUUGCUCCCCGAGCUCUUGACUUGGGCCAUCCGAGGUCACCUCUGGGCGCCUGCUGAGGCCUAUUUCCUCCUUGGAACAAGGUGGCAAAUGGUCUGUUGGAAAAAGAGCCAGCGGAGGUCUACUAGAGUUCACUGAGCGGUUAUUGAACGUCUACUGGGUGCCAGCACUGUUCCAGGCGUCGAGGGCAGGUAUAGGCUUGUGAUUAAGAGGGACAAAGUCGAUCCCCACGAUGUUAUGCGUGCCUGGAAUCCCAGCAUAGAGGAGAAUGAGGCAGGAAAAUAAUGAGUCUGAAGGAGUAGUGUGCUCUUGCCUUGGAAUACAAGAGGGACAAAAUUCCCAGCCCCCUUGCAGUCAACACAACACAUCGAUGAGUAAAUUAUAGUUCAGAAGACUGUAAAUGUGUACAAGGAAAAAAAAAACCAGGAUUUAAAAAAGGUGGAUAGUAACCGAGUUGUUAUUUUAAUUUUAGAAUGCUAGUCCCCGUUUGUAAUUAUUAUCUUUGAGACUACAUAGCUCUCCCUAGUCCGAAACUUGUUAUAUAGACCAAGCCCGCUUCGAACUCACAAAGAUCCCAUCUGCCCAAGCCUCCGGAGUGCUGGCUUUAAACAUGUGCCCGCCAUUCCCAAACCCCUUCGUGAGCGUCUCCUGUUCUGUAGGGAAUACAGAACUAAACAAGUUCCCACCUUUGGGGGUCUCCUCGAAGCUGAGACCUGGGCCAGCAAUGUAAGGAGCCAGAACUUAAGGGACGAGGAAAUAUGGAGGUUGAGGGUGGGGCUCAGGUGAGGGAAGGUAGAGGACAUCUAGGCCGCUAAAUCCAAGGCAGCUGCGUUAACAGCGGUUUCCCCGCUUUAACCCCCAGCCUUCAGAAUGUUUCUUGGCACACACUCCACAUUGAAGACAUACUUGUUGACUGAAUACCACGUGGGAAAAACAAGAACGAAUGAUAAAUUUAGACCCCAGUCAAAUCCUAAGCAUGUGGUGCUCUUGGUUUACCGUGAGAGAGUCAACUCCUGUACGACCGCUAGAGGGCAGCCCUCCACCCAACCGCGUGGCACAAAAGAGAGGAGGCCUCCUGCCGAGUUUCUGAGACUCCCCUAGCCGCCGCCUUCCCUGAUUUACAAAGAUUGAGAAUUUGGGGCCGGCAUGGUGGCGCACGCCUUUAAUCCCAGCGCUUGGGAGACAGAGGCAGAGCAAGUGGAUCUCUGAGUCCUAGGCCAGGUACAUAAAAGACUUCGUCUCAGUAACAAAACCGAAUGACAAGAAGAUUGAGCACGUGGGACUGGAAAUCUCGCCCCACUGGGUUUGUUUUGUAGGUGGGCUUUGUGCUUAUUACUUCUGAUUUCCAUCUACAUCUGGGCUCAAAUAUCCCAAAGGAGCUUUCCUUUCUGCCUACAUAGCCUCACGCAAGGACUUGUCUAGUCACCCUGAUAGCUUCCCUUGCAUAGCUCUGAUUGUGAUAACAUCUGUGCUGGUUAGUUUUUUGUUUUUUUUUUUUGUUUGUUUGUUUGUUUUGUUUUGUUUUCUUCUCAACUGUGAAUUUGUACCCUUCAGACUGGCCUGUAAGGCCGGUCUGGAGGUCAUUUUCUCGACGACUGAUUGGGGUGGGAAUGCCCAGCCCACAGUGGUGCCACCCUGGGCAGGUGGGUAAUCCUGAGUUCUAUAAGAAGGAAGGCUGAGUCAGCCAGUAAGCGUCCUCCCUCACCAAUCCCUGCUUCGGUUUCUGUGCUGAUAUAGUGUGACCGGGGAAACGGUAAGCCCAAUAACCCCUUUCCUUCCCAGGCUGCCUUUGGUCUUGGCCUUUAUCACAGCAAUGGUGGGAUGGCGUCUGAUAUUGUCUAACCAGUGUAUGUAUUGAUCUGACACCCCCCCCCCCCUUAGAGUUUGUAUACAAACAGGUUUACUGAAUAAAAUAACAGACUCCCUUGAUUCAAGGAAACGUCUAGCUGGAGAGAGGGCCUGAGAUCUGGAGGUUAAGGGUCUUGGAAGACAGAGAGGGAGGUCUACUGAUUUAGAGCAAUGAAGAGAUCUGGCAGUGGUGGCUAAAACCCGGCCUUUGAGAUGGGGAGAGUUUGCUUGUGGCAACAUUGUAACCUCUCUUCUCUGACUCGCAUCAGCCCAUUAGUAGAGAUCAGAGAACAAAACAAAAAACUCAGCAUGUAGUUCUGGGUUCAAUUCUUGCACCAAAAACCAAGGCAGACAAAAAUAAAUAAAUAAAUAAAUAAAUAAAUAAAUAAAUAAAUAAAUAAAAAAAAAUAAAAAUAUCCAGACCAAGGGUGGAGGAAGGGCUCUAAGCACAGCCCCUGGCUUCAGAGUAUCGAAGGAUCCACAGUAACCUUUUAUCUCCUUUACCAGAUCCAGCUGGGACCAUGAGUCCCAGCAAAACCAUUGAUACCGGUACUUCAACAGGUGGAAAACCCGAGGCUCCCGCGAGAAAGCAGCCUGCUAAAUAAACAGGGUAGGCAGGCGGGGAGGAUUGGACCUCAGGCUUCUUGAGCCCACCUUACCUUCAAGCAACCAUAGGGCUCCCUCAGGUGGUCAGAAGAGAGCCUGCUGACCAAGGAGCCGGAAGGAUGCUUCCCAGUGAUCCAGAAAGUAGCUAAGAAGAUGGGAUGCCCCGGCCUGGCAGUGGGGUGUGGAAUUGUACUGACCUCUGGAGCCUCAAAUGCCAUGUGUAGAAAUCAGGUAUAAAGAGUCUUUCUGAAAGUUGGGUGCACAAGACAGAGUACAUACCAGUUUGGCCCAGCCUCUAGCACACAGUAGGAAGCAGCAAUACCUACAAAAAGAAUCAGCUGUUUGCUGCUCAGAGGCUAAAAUCGGGGAAGACAACCGAGGCCGGAAGUAAAUCCGAGAUCCAGUGCGGCAUUAGUGUGCGGAUAUUUUUAUCCAGACACCCGUCCAUCUGUCUUGUGUCCAUUCUGAGCUGGUGAGUCUAUCAGACUCCUUUUAGAAGUCCUGAGUCAGGACUGACCACACCAAGUUCAGGGAGGAAGUUGGGUUUCUCGGCUCCCUUGAAGAGAUCUCAAAUCCAUUUCUUUUUCUUUUCUUUUCUUCUUCUUCUUUUUUUUUUUUAGUUGGUGUCUCUUGCCUUCAGCUGCUGUUGCCAAAUUCCCCUUGCCUCCUCCAGUCUGGAGCUGGGCCAUUUCCAGGAUCAUUCUUUUGUAUAAUUAAAAAGAAAAAUAGAACGGUUGAUGUUGCCAAACACGUAUUUAAAGUGACACUCUGAACCGAGGGAGUGAAAAAUCAAAACAUUCUAAGGUUUAGAUUAAAAGUCUCCAUCCUCGGCAGUCCCUGACCCUGGGAUUUCUCUGGAGCCUGGCUGCCUUUAAUCCUUUGCCCUGGCUCAUAAAAACCCUUUGGACUAAGGGUAUUUAUUUCUCAGAGAACUAUUCCAGGCUAAUCACAUAAAAAUACCCUGCUUCCCAGGAACACCCUGUCUAGUGCAUGUCCUGGGAACAGUGGAGUAUUCGGAAACAGUCACCUGAGGAGACACCCAAGUCCUCCUUCCUUCACUUCAUCCUUCCUUCAUGUAUCCGUUCCACUAGAAAAGUCUACCAGGCAAUUGCGGUCCUCAACAUUUCCUUAGGAUCAGAGCUCUUCCCUCCAGCUCUCUCGUGUCCAUGGUAUCUAAGGGACUGUCAGGAUUCACUCGGAUGUCAGUGGUCACUUGGUCACUUGACCAACUCUUCGUGGCUCUUUUCGAUUAUCCUAGAACCCACUCUGUAAGAGCAAUCGGAAAACCUUUCUAAAAGGAACAACUUGCCAGGAGUAGCACCACACUCAUUUAAUUCCAGCACUUGGCGGGGCUCUGUGAGUUCGAGGCCAGCCAGGAAGGGAUUUGUUGGCCAGCCAACUGAUUGUGUCCUUUCCAUGGUGCUUAGUGUAUAAAUUGACUUUUAUUUAUUGACUUUUCUGCGUACUGAGAAGUCAGAAUGAAGCUGCAGGGUUAAAGUAACUAAAGAUUUGGCUCGUUCUGGAGGCUCUCGAUGAGGGAAAUCCUUUUCCUUCCCUCUUUCGCCUUCUGGUGGAUUCCCAUAGUCCUCGGCUUGUGGACUCUCCCCCCUUCAGUGUUCAAAGCACUCACUGAUCUUGCUUUCCAUUGCUUUUUCUGCCUCUCCUGACUACUUCCUGACCAGAUACUUACGAUCACUUUGGCCUCACCUGGACAGUCUUCCCAUUUCAAGAGCUUCGAUUUCUAUCACUUCUGGAAAGCCUUUCCCAGCUAAGAGACUAUGGUCACAGACACACCAGAAGUGGGCAUCGGAUCCGUUGUGAGCCACCAUAUCAGUGCUGGGAAUUGAACUCAGGACCUCUGGAAGAGCAGUCAGUGCUCUUAACCGCUGAGCCAUCUCUCCAGCCCGAAACUGUACCUAUUGAGCCAUCACCCCAUCUACCUUUUGUACUGAAUCUCCAGCUCAUGAGCCCACGCCCCAUCCUCCGGAAUGUCUUUCUGAAGCUUGACCUUCGAAGGCUGGGCUAGCCCCAAACUCACAGAGACCUCUGAUUAAAGGCUGUCCGUGCCUCAUUCAUCCGGCAAGAGGGCAGCAGCUGGGCCCCAAACCUGGUGCUGUUGGCAGCGAGCCAAAAGCUGUCUGCCCUUCAUUUGGCCUCACUUUCCUUGCUCUGAAGGAUUUAACUCUUCCCCAUUAUAACCCCUUACCUGGACUGGCGGAAUUAAAAAAAAAAAAAAAAAAGGAGGCAGUCUCUUCUCUGUGUGAGCGCUGUGUGCACGUGUGCGGGCUUCCAAGCGGAGGCCAUAAGUUGGUGGCAUUUGUCUCCCCAGAUCCCUGUUCUCUACAUUUACAGAGGCAGGGUUUCUCGAUGAACCUGGAGCUUCUAAUUUGGCUUGGCUAGCUAGCUAGCUUGUCCUGGGGAUCUAGUUUCUGCAAAUGCCGGGGUUUCAGGAAGUCCAACAGAGCAGCAAGGCUUUUUGUGUGGGCACUGGGAAUACAAACUCUGGGCCUUGUGCUUGCAAGGCAGAGUGCCUUAUCAGCCGUGCCAUCUGCCCAGGCUGGGAAAUUAAAAAUUUUAAUGAGGGCUAAUACAUUAGGUAUACAGAGAAGUGACUAUGAAUCAAAUCCUCACCAGCCACAAAGCUUUAGCACCAUAUGAACGUGUCCCCCCUACCCCCCCCAGAGGUACUAGGGACAGCCAUGUGUUUUACCAGAGUCAUGUCCUUCCCUGCCUGGAGAAGAGGUUGCUCAGACUGCCAUGGGUUUCCUCUCCCUCUCCCUGUCCUCUCUCUCUACUCCCUCUCCCUCCCCCCUCUAGUAGCCAGGGCUACCCUAAGACCCUACCUCGUUUGUUUUCCAAGACCAGGGUUUCUCAUUGUAACCCUGGCUCUCCUGGAACUCAUGUAGACCAGGUUGGCCUUGAACUCAGAGAGCCAACUUCCUCUGCCUCCCGAGUACUGGGAUUAAGGCGCGGGCCACCACACUUCUGCUCCUCGAGACCCUGUGUGAUGUGGGGGUACACAUCCCAAGAUUUGUGUGUGGAGGUUAGAGAACAGCUCGUGGGAGUAGGUUCCUUUCUUCUACCAUUGUAGCUCCAAAGGAUCACAGGCUUGGUGACAAGUGCUCUCCCCCGCUGAGCAGCUUGCUGGCUCUGGAAUUAAUCCAUCUCCCUGGAUGCUCAGAUUAUAGGACAGUGCUAACCUGGUAAGCCUCCUUUCUUUCCAUGUACACUAAGAUACACAUUGUAACAUAAAAGAUAGUUUUAACCAUGAGCAUGCAGCACCACA
Molecule: non-coding RNA, 5897 nt
Organism: Rattus norvegicus (Norway rat)
Lineage: Eukaryota; Metazoa; Chordata; Mammalia; Rodentia; Muridae
Source: RefSeq, a predicted model, not a curated record